RNAcentral lists this non-coding RNA (90 nucleotides) under Maricaulis maris. Its description in RNAcentral is "Glycine sequence". It matches the Rfam family "Glycine riboswitch aptamer". From Rfam's summary of the family: This family represents the bacterial glycine riboswitch. Glycine riboswitches usually consist of two metabolite-binding aptamers domains with similar structures in tandem. RNAcentral also lists the same sequence under 1 other name. The record is from RNAcentral. Lineage: Bacteria; Pseudomonadati; Pseudomonadota; Alphaproteobacteria; Maricaulales; Maricaulaceae.
AAACUCCCCGCGGGAGAGACCGGCGAAUAUGCCGGCGCCGAAGGCGCAACCGCCCCGGAAACGCUCAGGCCAAGGGACCGCGGGAGAGAC